UGGCCACAAGCUGUACCAAGCCAUGUUUAAUUUGGACAUCUGGAAGAACUUAAUCACUGAAAGCAUUGUCAGAAUUUAAUCAUUGAAACCACUGUCAUUGGGAGGUGGUGGAGCCCCAUCCCUGGAGGUGUCCAAGGAAUUGCUCUGGGCUCAGUGACAAGCUGGAAGCAUCAUCUCAGGCCAGCACGAAAACCCCCUGUGUCAAAGAGCUCUCAUGUGAGAUAGGAAGUGGAUGUGAAUUCCCUGAUCUCUCGUGCCAGGACUGAAAUAAUUUCCUCUGAGAAUAACAUCCAGAUGAUGGAUCCAUCUUACUAUAAAUGGCUGAAUUCAGGGCAGAAGAGUUACAUGCAAAGCAUGAAUCAUACAAGGAAGAGUACUGAAGGAGGAAGAGGAGACUUCCCCAUGAGGUGUCCAUGGGGGCUUAGCACGAGCUCUUUCUGCCUGAAACACCUUGGGUAGCUGUUGAUUUCUUCUGCAGUAAUUCACAGGUGCCAAGG
This is a long non-coding RNA of Melospiza melodia melodia, 497 nucleotides long. RefSeq lists it as uncharacterized. The transcript has 3 exons. Lineage: Eukaryota; Metazoa; Chordata; Aves; Passeriformes; Passerellidae. The record is from RefSeq and is a predicted model, not a curated record.